Molecule: transfer RNA, 66 nt
Filed under: Actinomycetes bacterium
Lineage: Bacteria; Bacillati; Actinomycetota; Actinomycetes
Also listed under: 1 other name
Description: Actinobacteria bacterium tRNA-Thr
Rfam family: tRNA
About the family: Transfer RNA (tRNA) molecules are approximately 80 nucleotides in length.
Source: RNAcentral
CUCUUAGCUCAGUUGGUAGAGCACCUCCAUGGUAAGGAGGGGGUCGACGGUUCGAGUCCGUCAGAG